RNAcentral lists this unclassified non-coding RNA (195 nucleotides) under uncultured Glomeromycetes. Its description in RNAcentral is "sequence contains ITS2". The record is from RNAcentral. Lineage: Eukaryota; Fungi; Glomeromycota; Glomeromycetes.
UAAAUAACAAUCGGUGUGUUGUUGCUUUCUUGUGACAUCUCCGGAGUUGGGUCAUCUUUCUGCUUUCUUAAGGGACCUAAAAUUGAUGUUCUCGCGCAUCUUGAUGUGUAUAAUUUCUUAUUUUGUCACUGGAUGCCGGGGUAUUUAUUAGGUGUGACUAUGUUAAGUGGUCUCAUGCCUAUAGGAUUCUUGAUU